UGGGGAAUAUUGGACAAUGGGCGCAAGCCUGAUCCAGCCAUGCCGCGUGUGUGAAGAAGGCCUUAUGGUUGUAAAGCACUUUAAGCGAGGAGGAGGCUACUUUAGUUAAUACCUAGAGAUAGUGGACGUUACUCGCAGAAUAAGCACCGGCUAACUCUGUGCCAGCAGCCGCGGUAAUACAGAGGGUGCAAGCGUUAAUCGGAUUUACUGGGCGUAAAGCGCGCGUAGGCGGCUAAUUAAGUCAAAUGUGAAAUCCCCGAGCUUAACUUGGGAAUUGCAUUCGAUACUGGUUAGCUAGAGUGUGGGAGAGGAUGGUAGAAUUCCAGGUGUAGCGGUGAAAUGCGUAGAGAUCUGGAGGAAUACCGAUGGCGAAGGCAGCCAUCUGGCCUAACACUGACGCUGAGGUGCGAAAGCAUGGUGAGCAAACAGG
Molecule: ribosomal RNA, 430 nt
Filed under: Pseudomonadota bacterium
Lineage: Bacteria; Pseudomonadati; Pseudomonadota
Description: Proteobacteria bacterium partial 16S ribosomal RNA
Rfam family: Bacterial small subunit ribosomal RNA
Source: RNAcentral